This 929-nucleotide long non-coding RNA is filed under the name Zonotrichia albicollis (white-throated sparrow). RNAcentral's name for it is "lncRNA (ENSZALG00000010745.1)". Lineage: Eukaryota; Metazoa; Chordata; Aves; Passeriformes; Passerellidae. The record is from RNAcentral.
UGCGUGGAGAACGUGACUGAACCAGGCCAGCUGCUGGAGGCAGACCUGCCUGUGGAGAGACCCCCCGAGACCCUGGGGGAGGCGGCGCAGGACACCCAGCAAGGUGGAGCGGAGGGGAGUGUCUGCAGCCGCUGCUGCACCCGGAUCCCCACUCCCCACCACUGUCCUGCUCCCAGUGGGGACUCGAGGUGAGUUCCCCAUCAUGCCCCACAUGCCAGUUCCUCCCUGGAGGGUUCUGCCCUGACGGUCUGUGUCACCUCUGAUGUCUAGGGGGAUACAGCUGUGCAUGUCCUGCAUGGGCACCCUGGACACAGGCGGUCUAGGAACCACUGCAGCAGCUGGAGACCAACUGCUUCCAGCAGCCAAGGCAGAGGAUGGAGCCCUUGGCAGUGACCCUGUGCUGAGCCGGGAGGAGCUUGACGCGCUGCUAGGGGAGGUAAGACUGCGUGACACCAACAGGCAGACUCCAUGCAAAGGGGACCAUGUCUCUGGUGUGGCCCACAGGGGGUCAUGGGCACAUGGGUCAGGCAGCAUGUGCCUGGACAGGGGAAAGGAUGUGGGAUGGAAAGAGAAAAUGAACACCGGGGGCUAUCCCACAGAGCACGUGGGAUGGGAUCUUGCAGUGGGCAUUCCAGACCAUGGCACGGCCGCUGGCAGAAACACAGGGGCUCCUUGCCUAGUGCAGACACCAAGCAGCACAAUCCACAUGGCAACCAAUGAGAAAGAAAGCUCGGAGACACACGUAAAACAAGAUGAAUGCAGGCAUAAUGAUAGCACAAAGAAGUCACAGAAUACAACACUGACCGUCAACAGGACAACCGACAAUGGCACAAACAGAGCAAAAUGGCAGGCUACACCCACUGACACUCAGCAGAGAACAAGCGCACUGAAAAUGUACAUAAAAUACAGGCCAGAGCAAAUAAAAUUCA